This 21-nucleotide microRNA is filed under the name Selaginella moellendorffii. RNAcentral's name for it is "smo-miR1105". Lineage: Eukaryota; Viridiplantae; Streptophyta; Lycopodiopsida; Selaginellales; Selaginellaceae. The record is from miRBase by way of RNAcentral.
UUCGGAUGUGAAGAUCGCUGC